GUGUAUGUUAAGAUUUAUUUUUUUUUCAAAUUUUGCAAUCUAUCUUUCAAGAUCCCAAAAGAAAAAAACAACAAAUUUAUUGCACCUAAGUUUUUAGUGCUACAAAAAAAAAUUGAAGUUAAGUAUAUGCUUGAAGAAAAUUCUUGGAGUGAGGAUUGUAGAUCCAAAAAGGACAAAACAAUAAAUUUCUUGUACCCACUUUUUCCUUUAAUUUGUUUCUCUUUCCCAUUCAAUUUAUCUCUCUUUUUUAUAUGAAGAACAUAUGAAGAACAUGAAGAACAUUUUUCCACACUCAAAUUCAAUCAAUCGUAUACUUAGAGGUUACCAAUUUGGACUGUGGGGUUUUUGUCUUUGCCUAUGCGAAAAUAUUAAGUGGAAGGCACCAACUUCAUUCACGUGGGUUUGAUGUCGUAAGUCAACGUGCACGACAUUCUUCAUUACUGUGGCAUGACGGAGUCGAAAAGGCAAAACAAGGGUACACAAGUGAUAAAGGCGGUCCGUCUCGGCCUAGGAAUACUGUUCUAGAUGUAAUUGAUACAAGUGAAAUUGUUACUUUAGAGUAGCAUUGUUUUUAAAAUAGUCAGCAUUGAAAAAACUAAUUCUUCA
Long non-coding RNA from Capsicum annuum, 606 nucleotides. RefSeq lists it as uncharacterized. NCBI's taxonomy places the organism in Eukaryota, Viridiplantae, Streptophyta, Magnoliopsida, Solanales, Solanaceae. The record is from RefSeq and is a predicted model, not a curated record. The transcript is spliced from 2 exons.